UGCACGAAGCCGGAGUUGCUAGUAAUCGCGAAUCAGAAUGUCGCGGUGAAUGCGUUCCCGGGUCUUGUACACACCGCCCGUCACACCAUGGAAGUUGGGGGGUGCCCAAAGCCGGCAAGCAAAUAUGCUGUCUAAGGCAAAACCAAUGACUGGGGUGAAGUCGUAACAAGGUAAC
This 175-nucleotide ribosomal RNA is filed under the name uncultured bacterium. Its description in RNAcentral is "partial 16S ribosomal RNA". It matches the Rfam family "Bacterial small subunit ribosomal RNA", at positions 1317 to 1500 of the family's 1533-position model. The record is from RNAcentral.